AGCGAACGCUGGCGGCAGGCCUAACACAUGCAAGUCGAACGGAUCCUUCGGGAUUAGUGGCGGACGGGUGAGUAACACGUGGGAACGUGCCCUUUGGUUCGGAACAACUCAGGGAAACUUGAGCUAAUACCGGAUGUGCCCUUCGGGGGAAAGAUUUAUCGCCAUUGGAGCGGCCCGCGUCUGAUUAGCUAGUUGGUGAGGUAAAGGCUCACCAAGGCGACGAUCAGUAGCUGGUCUGAGAGGAUGAUCAGCCACAUUGGGACUGAGACACGGCCCAAACUCCUACGGGAGGCAGCAGUGGGGAAUCUUGCGCAAUGGGCGAAAGCCUGACGCAGCCAUGCCGCGUGAAUGAUGAAGGUCUUAGGAUUGUAAAAUUCUUUCACCGGGGACGAUAAUGACGGUACCCGGAGAAGAAGCCCCGGCUAACUUCGUGCCAGCCGCCGCGGUAA
RNAcentral lists this ribosomal RNA (449 nucleotides) under uncultured bacterium. Its description in RNAcentral is "partial 16S ribosomal RNA". It matches the Rfam family "Bacterial small subunit ribosomal RNA", at positions 29 to 523 of the family's 1533-position model. The record is from RNAcentral.